Molecule: ribosomal RNA, 260 nt
Filed under: uncultured prokaryote
Description: partial 16S ribosomal RNA
Rfam family: Bacterial small subunit ribosomal RNA
Source: RNAcentral
GUGUCAGCAGCCGCGGUAAUACGUAGGUGGCAAGCGUUAUCCGGAAUUAUUGGGCGUAAAGCGCGCGCAGGUGGUUUCUUAAGUCUGAUGUGAAAGCCCACGGCUCAACCGUGGAGGGUCAUUGGAAACUGGGAGACUUGAGUGCAGAAGAGGAAAGUGGAAUUCCAUGUGUAGCGGUGAAAUGCGUAGAGAUAUGGAGGAACACCAGUGGCGAAGGCGACUUUCUGGUCUGUGACUGACGCUGAGGCUCGAAAGCGUGG